RNAcentral lists this ribosomal RNA (647 nucleotides) under Kamptonema animale NTMP03. Its description in RNAcentral is "bacterial SSU rRNA". It matches the Rfam family "Bacterial small subunit ribosomal RNA", at positions 89 to 769 of the family's 1533-position model. The record is from RNAcentral. Lineage: Bacteria; Bacillati; Cyanobacteriota; Cyanophyceae; Oscillatoriales; Microcoleaceae.
AAAUUUUUUUCGGACGGGUCAGUAACGCGUGAGAAUCUACCUUCAGGUCGGGGAUAACCCCUGGAAACGGGGGCUAAUACCGGAUAGGUCGAAAGAUGAAAGGUUAACUGCCUGAAGAGGGGCUCGCGUCUGAUUAGCUAGUAGGUGUGGUAAGAGCGCACCUAGGCGACGAUCAGUAGCUGGUCUGAGAGGAUGAGCAGCCACACUGGGACUGAGACACGGCCCAGACUCCUACGGGAGGCAGCAGUGGGGAAUUUUCCGCAAUGGGCGAAAGCCUGACGGAGCAAGACCGCGUGGGGGAGGAAGGCCUUUGGGUUGUAAACCCCUUUUGUUAGGGAAGAAAAAAAUGACGGUACCUAACGAAUCAGCCUCGGCUAACUCCGUGCCAGCAGCCGCGGUAAUACGGAGGAGGCAAGCGUUAUCCGGAAUUAUUGGGCGUAAAGCGUCCGUAGGUGGCCCGGCAAGUCUGCUGUCAAAGACCACAGCUCAACUGUGGAAAGGCAGUGGAAACUGCAAGGCUAGAGUGCGGUAGGGGUAGAGGGAAUUCCCAGUGUAGCGGUGAAAUGCGUAGAGAUUGGGAAGAACACCGGUGGCGAAAGCGCUCUCCUGGGCCGCAACUGACAUUGAUGCACGAAGGCUUGAAGUCC